CCUACGGGAGGCAGCAGUGGGGGAUAUUGCACAAUGGGGGGAACCCUGAUGCGGCGACGCCGCGUGGGUGAAGAAGCGCCUCGGCGCGUAAAGCCCUGUCAGCAGAGACGAAAAUGACGGUACCUGAAGAAGAAGCCCCGGCUAACUACGUGCCAGCCGCCGCGGUAAUACGUAGGGGGCAAGCGUUAUCCGGAUUUACUGGGUGGAAAGGGGGCGCAGACGGCGAUGCAAGCCAGGAGUCAAAGCCCGGGGCCCAACCCCGGGACUGCGCUUGGAACUGCGUGGCUGGAGUGCAGGAGGGGCAGGCGGAAUUCCUGGUGUAGCGGUGAAAUGCGUAGAUAUCAGGAGGAACACCGGUGGCGAAGGCGGCCUGCUGGACUGCAACUGACGUUGAGGCCCGAAAGCGUGGGGAGCAAACAGGAUUAGAUACCCCUGUAGUC
RNAcentral lists this ribosomal RNA (440 nucleotides) under uncultured bacterium. RNAcentral describes it as "partial 16S ribosomal RNA". It matches the Rfam family "Bacterial small subunit ribosomal RNA", at positions 338 to 795 of the family's 1533-position model. The record is from RNAcentral.